This is a long non-coding RNA of Glycine soja, 332 nucleotides long. RefSeq lists it as uncharacterized. The transcript has 2 exons. NCBI's taxonomy places the organism in Eukaryota, Viridiplantae, Streptophyta, Magnoliopsida, Fabales, Fabaceae. The record is from RefSeq and is a predicted model, not a curated record.
AACAAAAUUUGAUUUUGAAAUUCACUUUCAACACACAUAAUGACGAAAGUUUCACCAUUCUUUCCUUGCUUGAUCAUUUUAUUUCUCGUAGCAUCUGGAACGAAAGGUUUCGAGGCAGGAUGUAAGCACGGCACGUGCCGUGACGUUGAGGAGUGUUCUCCGCCACCGCCUGAAUUUUGUGGAGGAAGAGUAAAUCCCAAAGUAAAAUGCAUUUUACAUUGUUGUAAGUGGGAUUGCUACGAUUAAAAAAAAUUCCACGUCUUUGUUGUGUAAUAAUAACAUCUUCCAUCUCCUUAGUUGAGAUUUCAUGCAUAUUCUAUGUUGUUUCGAAA